Molecule: transfer RNA, 77 nt
Filed under: bacterium
Lineage: Bacteria
Also listed under: 2 other names
Description: tRNA-Ile
Rfam family: tRNA
About the family: Transfer RNA (tRNA) molecules are approximately 80 nucleotides in length.
Source: RNAcentral
GGGCCUAUAGCUCAGUCGGUCAGAGCGGAGGACUCAUAAUCCUUUGGUCGCAGGUUCGAGUCCUGCUGGGCCCACCA